GCUGGGCAUAGUGGCUCACACCUGUAAUCCCAGCAACUUGGGAGGCUGAGGCAGGAGGAUCUCAAGUUCAAAACCAGCCUUGGUAACUUAGCAAGACCCUGUCUCUA
Molecule: small RNA, 107 nt
Filed under: Marmota monax (woodchuck)
Lineage: Eukaryota; Metazoa; Chordata; Mammalia; Rodentia; Sciuridae
Source: RNAcentral